CACUGAAGCAGGAGAAGUUUUUAAGGGCCUGCUUCCCAAAUUCUGGUAGUCACAGGCUUCCUAAAGAGUCCAUCAAACCACGGACUUAGACAUCCUUGUGCAUGACUGCCUCUCCACUAGAGAAAAAGGUUGAGUUGAUACAUCAUUCUGCACACACAGAAGCAUUCCUGCUGGCAGGAAGUGGGCUAGAAGACUGUGGCCUGGCCUGGGCCAUGCUGGACAGCCAUGCUGGAUGAUCUGAAGGCAAUCAGUGAUUUGGUCCAAGCUGAACCACGCUGCUCAAAGCCAUGCAAUCGUGCCAUCUAAUGAAGGAUGGGAGCUGGAGAUGAUUAAAGCUACUACCACACAGCACAGCUGGAGCAGGACUGAGCUCUACGGUCUGAAGGGCCUCCUUAAAAUGGUCUGUAAAUAUGUGACAGGAGUGGCAUGGCUCUAGCAAGACAUGAAGAAGCAAAGCAUCAGGGAACAAGGACAGUCACAAGAACAGUUCCAAGAGAGCAGUGGCACAAGGGAUCUUGCC
Vidua chalybeata is the source of this 520-nucleotide long non-coding RNA. RefSeq lists it as uncharacterized. The record is from RefSeq and is a predicted model, not a curated record. The transcript is spliced from 3 exons. NCBI's taxonomy places the organism in Eukaryota, Metazoa, Chordata, Aves, Passeriformes, Viduidae.